ACUAGUAUAUUUAUGAGAUUGUCUGAGAUUAGUCAUUAUAUUUACAGUUACGGUAACAUUCCUCCUACAACAUCAGCUUGAUAUACGGCAUAGUACGAUAUUGGGAAACCGCAAGAGCUUAUUAUGUAGAUUAAAUUAUUAAUUAAUUAACAAUGCAAGUGCACAUCAUGUGGGAACAGUCCCUCAAGAGUAAGUAAGAAAGGCUAAACUGAAGAAUAUAAGGUCACAUCAUUAAACAAGUUCCUAAAAGUACCACAGUACUACCAUGUAUAUUUUGCCAUGGUACCAUCAAAUGCAUGUUAUGUUUUGGACAAGUACCAUGAUAUAUUUGUAGGCACCUUAGAGUCCCAUGUAAAUACCUUGGUAUGCAAAUAUAGUAAUCAUUAAAUGUCAUAGUAUAAAACCAUAUACCAUCUGUUUACCAUAAGAUAGAGCUGCCAUCUAUUGUCAUUACUGCACUCUGGUUCCGCCACAGUAUUUUUUGUGAGAGAUGAGCUUGUUUACACCAGACUGAUCUCACUGUGAACUGUGCUUACCGAAAUGUAAACCACUGCCCCCAGUGGCUCAAGCAGGAAGUACUUUUUUUUUUUUUUUUUUUACCUAAGUGCAUGUGUGAGCUCCAGAUUCCAGUUGUACAGCAAGAUGUAAAAAUGUCAUAUUAAAGGGAAAAUGGAACCUCCAAAUAAUUUUCACAAAUUACUUCCUGGCUUCAACACAGCAUGAGAACCUUGGUCUCACACGCAGCUGAUGAAACACUCUAUCAGUCACACCACAGGAAAAUGUAAACACACUUGAACUGAUGCAAAAAAAGUGUCUGAUGAGAGAUGGCGCUUGUCAAUAACUUUGCAAAAUGAGGCAGAUGUCAGAGUACUGGAACAUUCGGAAGAAAUGUGCAUAAUUUCUGUGUGAUCAUGUUGUUUACAUAGAUAAGCCUUCCUAAGGAAAUACUUUGAAACCUAGUUGAACAAACCGCAUGUGUGAUUUGAAUAGAUGAGAGAUAAUAUAGCCAAAUCAUAGCAGAAGGUCAUACAUUUCAGUAGCUACAUCCUCUUUAGUAAAAGGAAGUGAAUCUUGUUAAAUUAUAUAUGCAAAGAGCUGCUAAUUGUGAUUUUCUCUUCUCUAGGGAUUUAAACAGAUACUGUCAAGAGAUAAAGACAACUGUGGAAACUUGAUUUGGGCCUCUGAAAUGACAAUAAUUACAGACAAGGAUAUCAAUCACAUUUUACAGAACAGUGAACCCCUGAAGAUAAUUGGACCAUCACCCAUUGAACCUACAGUAGCCAAAAGAAAAGUUGACCUCCCUGUGACGAGGAAGAGGGUGGGGCUGGGCCAUGAGGACACACGGCAAGCCCUGAAUCUGGCUAAUCAGCCAGGAGGGGGAUAAAGACUAGCCAGAGGCACCAGUUUGAGAGACGCAAGUGGCCGUGUUGCAUUGGUACCAAAACCCAGGAAGAAGGAGGGAUGCGCUGUCGCGGAGUCCUCACUCACGGAACCGAGGCCGUCUGCCGAGAAGAGGAGGAGCGGUUCCAUCUGCCAGGUGCCAGAGGACUCACUGCUGUCCACCUGGGGAGGAUCAAGCUGGCGUCAGCCUGAGGGCGGAGGAGCGGUUGAGGACCAGGCAACAGCAGGAAGGGCAAUGCAACCCCCCUCCAGAAAGGGAGGGGAGACCGUCAUGCCGGGGAUUCCCCCAGACUGAGUCGGGCGAUAGAGGAGUGUGACAAGCAGGAGAGUGGGGCCGGUCCAUGAGGACACACAGCAGGCCCUGAAGGGGGAUAAAGUCUAGUUAGU
Molecule: long non-coding RNA, 1788 nt
Organism: Xyrauchen texanus (razorback sucker)
Lineage: Eukaryota; Metazoa; Chordata; Actinopteri; Cypriniformes; Catostomidae
Exons: 3
Source: RefSeq, a predicted model, not a curated record